GUAGCUUUGUGGUGAUGGCAUUGACAUAGAGGGGGAGAUUGCUGGAGAUCCAGUCCUUACACAGUGAGGCUGGAAAAGAGCCAGUUGUUGGAUAAAAUGCAGGAAACAGAACAGGCUGAGAGACAUUCAGGAUAUGAAUUUGUACCUCAGCACGGGCAUACCUGUGAUAGGAAUGGUGAAGACUUCAGAUUCUCCAUCUAGUUCUGGUCAGGUCUGUCUUGGAGAACUCAUCCCCAUAGAAGCAAGAGGGAGGCUGUUCCAGUAACUCUUGUGGGAGGUCUAGCUGGGAAGCCAUCAUUGGCAGCACCGCACUCCCCCUGUUCCCAGACAGGAUUUCAGCCCAUUACAAGGACUAGCUCAGCUCCUGCCUCUGGUGCUUUGGUCUGCUAGAAAACUCAGACAUCAAUAAGGCAGUUAAGUUUGUAUAUUGAAUCAUGCAAAGUAUGGAUUAUGCAAAACAGCCCAGCUGUAAUUUCGAGUGAAAGGAGAGACAGGUCAACACUUUGCAGGACUUUACAGGACAGAACUCUAAGCACUGCAAGAGAUCCUGACACCAGUGAAUGAGUCCAUGCAGCAGAUCAUAAACACAUCACCAAGUCAUGAUAUUGGAACAUCACUUCCUGCCGAUACCUAAAUAUUAAUGUCUAGCUGCGUCGCUUUGACCUCUCUGUGAGGCCUGGGUAAAUCCUGAAGAUGCUGGGCCACAAUUCUUAAGAAGGAAACUUCAAGUUCUUUCCGCUUCACUUCCCCUUCACAUGUCUGAGGCAGUUAGCGUUGCUGCCCCAUAGUCUGCGUGGCAGGAGCUGUGUGCUAGCUGUGGCACCCAUUGUCUGCAUUUUUCCUCUCGUUAGUCUCCUUGACCUUUCAUUGUCUUACUCCUGCAGUGUCAGGUCAGACUUAGUGUAGGUCUCCCUUCACUAAGGACCCCUUUCCUUUCGUGGAUCACUAAGCAGGACAAUUGCUCUAUCCAUCUUUUCAGGGUCUAUUGUCGAGCCCCCCCUGAGCUGAGAAAGGUUUGAUUCACUGGGAAACCAUUUUGGUCAAAGGGAAGCCUGACUAUGUGUCCUUUUAGGAACUCUGUCUUAAUCACUGACUUUUUUAUCUGGGAUAUGAAGAGGAUUCAGGAGAUCAAAAGGUUUGGGAGUACAUGGGUUUGACCACAUUUUUCCUGGAAAUAAUGGGAAACCUCCACUGAAAAAUGAGCUCCGUUACAAUGGGCAAACAAGAAGGAAAGCCACAUAGUGUUCCCAGAGCAUUCUGAAUCAUCGGACCUUCAAUAGCUUCCAUAAAGAAGGGAAAAAGUAAACAGAAAAAGUAAAUGGAAUGUAAUAAUUAAUGGACCUGAAGAAUAAGACUCAUUUUAUUUGCGCAUAAUCGGUGCUUUUGAAAAAAAGAUAAGUCAAAAGGAAUUGACAGAGCAGAUGGAGAAGACUUCUUGAUGACUGGAAGUUCAGUUGGGCUGAGCAUGUAGCAGACACACAUGUAGUUACUCAGAAUUAGUAGCUUGUGUCACCUUGACAAGUGACUGUACACUCAGUGGUUCCAUAUUCUUCCUAGGACCAUGAUGUGGAGGCCUUGUUGAAGCACCACAGUGGAACUAUGCUGGGUUUGAAGGCACUACCUUUGUCACUAGGUGUUACAUGUUCAGCCACAUACAUGCCAAUGCCUUGAAAAUUUCAUCUUGUGAGGGACAGACAUCCAGACAUCUACUUUUUCUAGGCAUUAUUUGUGCCUUUCCUGGCUAUGGAAUGCACCCCAGUAUUAGCAAGUUUAUAUUUAAACUUCAAUAUUUGCUCACAUAUUUUCCUGAGUCAAAUAAAAAGUGCCAGCUGGAUGUUAUGAGUGCCUUUGUACUGGCCUUUGGAUGAGGAGCUGCAGCAGGCUUCAAACAAGGUCAAACUUACAGGUUAUACCUUUAUUCCCCAGCAAGAAAGGGGGGAAAUAAGCCUUUAAAAUACAAAACAAAACAAAACAGAAACCUAGAAAACUCAUCUUAAAAGAAAAAUUCUCACCAGGUAUGAAGACUAUAAAGUGAUACCAUACCAGACCACACGUCUGAAAUGUUUCGAGGAGAGAUGAGUGUAGAACUGGAUGAGAUGCGAAGCAUUCCUAUUUUCUAUACUGAAAUUUCUGAACCUGAUGUUUCUUCAUUGGAAAACAGACAUAACCCUUUGGAUGUUUACAUUAAGUAUGCUUAGAACAAUUUGUUUUUUGUUGUUGUUGUUUUGUUUUGUUUACUGGUGUAUCUGUAUACAGUAACUUUCAUGCCAUCUUAAUGUGCUCCUGCCAUUUAACUUCACACUGUCAGCUGAUCUCUUAAUGUCAGCAGUGCAACUUUCUGUCAACACUACUAAGUAGAGGUGUCCAGGAUAUUAAAUAUGCUUGAAUUUAUAUACAUGAGGAAGGGAAAAAGUGAUUCAAGCUCUUCCUGAACUGCAGAAAGACCUGAAUUGUGCUUUGGUGGAACUGCUCCAGAACAAAAACUUCUGCUCCAGAAGAGUAUUUAGUUCUGAUUCUUAGUAGCACUAAAUAUCUUUUUUUUUUUUUUUUCUAUUAACAAGUGCCAAACACAUGAGGAGAAAAUAUGAGCUGGUAGAAUUAGUAUAGCUGCAGUUUUACACUUCCCAAAGGUAGGAGAAUGCUCUAGGAUACAUUUCAGAUACAUGAGGGAAGGCCUUCAUAUAACGGAAAUGCAGUCUCGUGACAUUAAACUGUUUUGGAAAACGGUUGCAUUUUAUGUAAUGUUCAACCCUGAUAAAGAGAAUUUUGCUGAAUAUUUCUAAGCACUAUCUAUCACAAAUUAAGAGUAUGUGGAAAAGCCACCAAUUUCACCUGUGUAGUGGAAAUGCUAAGUCACAGCCUGAAGCAGUGAUUGAGCACCUGGUGGGAAGGCAGGGCCAACCCAGGGGAGCUCAGGUGCACACAAUGCCCCUUCCCAGACCUCAUUUAAGGGUUGGCAGUGGAGGCAAUGCUAUUUUGCUAGAGAUGCCUGUGGCCUUCUAAGGGUGAGUAGAGUCUUUCUGUUUUCUUUCUGCAUUCAUAGUCGCUGCAUUUGAGCAUAUCCUUACUAGUUGCAGUCUAGGACUUUGCUACUAUACAGUCAUUGCAGUGCGUUGUGUUAGAACCUGGUAUUCCAUUAUGCAAGUUACUUAUUUUCUAUGUGUUUUUGAUGACUUUAUGAUGGGAACCUAACCCUUUAACUGCACUGUGCCUCAUGUGGCUAAAAAUGUUACAUCAAAAUGUACUUAAUGAGUAAGAGAGAUAAAUGUUUUCAUUAACUUCAAUGGCUAACAUUAAGGCUAUUGAUAGAAAACAUCCUACAUGAAGAAAGCUUCUAUCUGUUACUAAAGUUACUCCUUUAACCUACCCAUCAGCAGGGCGUUGUAGGCAAAGGCUUUCUAAUGCAGUUUUGUCAAAACCAGCUAGGUUAUUUCAAUCUGAGCAUCUGUUACGUGGCAGCCUUUAAAGAAAUUAUGUUUACCUCAUUUAAAGGUCUUGUAUGUCAUACUGCCUGGAUGUUUUGAGUGAUCUUAUAUUGUUUAGCAUUCCUUGAGUCUCAAAAUGUGUCUUGGGUGGGCUGCUACUCUUCUUCCCUUUGAAAACACCAUGCUGUCCCUAGGUAUCCUCACAAUUCAGCCUUUCUUGAUGAGCUGACUUUAGUAAAAGUGAUUAUGGACCUCAGGAGAAACUAAUUUUCCUGAUUGAGAAUUAGGUCAAGAAUUUAACUUAGCACAGAUAAGUCUCAUGUAACUUGGAAAUCCUGAUACUGCCUGCCUUUUCUGUCAGCAGACUGGUGGGGGCAAGACCUCCAGCAAAGUAAUGAUAAAAGGAGGAAGGUCACCUCCUCUGUUAGCACAUCUGGAUCAGGAAGAAGAUGAUUUACUAUCCUCACUCUAAACUCCUAUUGAAAUGAACAAUCCUUUUCCUCACAAAGGGCUAGUGGCUCUGCUGCAUAUUUAACUGAAAUGGUAGUAUGGUCAGUCACAUAGCUGAAGAUCUAAGAACUAUAAUAUGAUUGAACUAAUUGCUUCCAGAGGGCAAAGAAACAGAAAGAAGCUAUAAAAAGGUAUGCAGUAUUUGAAAAUCAGUAAAUCAGUUUUUUUUUCUUCAAAUAAUACUGCUUGUAGAGCUUUAAAUGCCAGAUGGAACGUAAAUUGUUAACUAUUAUUUCUUGUAAGUGUUCAUGUUUUCUGUCCUCUGUUAAAUCUUAAUCUCCAUAUGUUGGUUCAUGCUAACAGCUUCCACAGUAAAAUGCAGUACAUACAAGUGGGCAAAAUGAUGGUGUGUUCUGAGUAGUUACAGUCAGUUGCUAACUGUUGAUGUUGUAUUCAACCUUGUAACUUUCUAAUAUUGAGAUAAUGAGCAAGUGCAAAACUGUAUUAACUCUUCUUUUGUAGCUGCUUGAUCAGUAAGUAGCUGGUUAAAGGAAAGAUUCCCACUAACUUUAGUGGUCUGUGAAUCAAGCUCUUGAUAUAUAUAGAAGGUCCCUGAAAACAAAGUUUUAUUUUUUAAUGUAUUGUCUCAUUUGUUGAAUAGCAUGGCUUACUGCCCAGUGUUAUGGCAGUUCACAAUGACUAUUCUUCCCACCCAUUCUCCUUCUCCUCCUUCCAUUAAUCAGUGAUGGGUUGAAUUCAAAUGUUUUGGAAGUUCAGCCUGGUUUUGAUGUGAUAGUACAUAAAAAUAUCUACAGAGUAGUUAUUAGGGUGCUUGGUGUGGCUGCAUUUGUCCCGGGGAAACCUCCCCCUUCUUUCUGAGAGCAGCAGCAGAUUUUGUGGGAAGGUUGGCAGCUCUACAAGGUCCUCUUUGAGGCAGGCUCCACUCCCUCUGCCCCAGUGGUACAUCCAUCAUUUUUGGUUUUCCUUUCCAAAAUGCUUUUCACAAAAGUCACUUCCUUGUUUCACAUUACUCCAUGCUCUGUGAAUUCACACUGGAACAUGCUGCGAACCAGAUCCAUAUCUGGUGUAAAUCAGCAUCAUCCUGCUACUCUCAGUGGAAAUACAAAACUUGGUAUCUACGGAGGAUCUUGUCCAUGAACUCUAAGCAGACACUUUUGGUAGAGAGAAAAUGGGUUUGUGUGUUCUGGGGAGAGGUACUGCAAGGGGCAGCAAAUGGAAAAUCCUACCUAAACAUUAAGGAGUUUAUCUUCACUAACCUUUCUAACAUGAUAAUUUUGGAUGAACUUCUGCUCUUUGUACCCUGAUACUGUCCAUUUCCAAGUGCUAGAAAUUGGUGUGGAACAAAAAAAAAGGGUCUGAGCUAUUGAUGCUGUAUAAAGGAGCUCAAUUAGUAUCAUCAUAAAAUAACUUUGUAUAAGCAUAUCCCCUGCACUCUCAUUUCUGUCUAUAACUGUUCAUGCUAAGCACCUAUUUCAAAAGCUGCUCCAAGUUUAUUCAAGGAUGCGUUUAGUCUGAUCUGCAGCAUUUGUCACUUGUUGGCCAAAACUGACAUAAGGGAUUUAAAUGUGCUGCUUCUAACGUGGUGACGCUGCCUUUAAUUUAGCAUAAGUGAUUAUAUAUGUUUGACUGUCAAAUCACUGUAUGUAGCUUUUGUGGUUGGGGGACUUGUUUUAUCAAAGAAUUCUGCUGAACCUCUUCCAAACCAGAACUCUCAUGUGUAUAAUUAUAUUGUAUUUUCAUUAUAUAAACUGUAUUUUUAAGACUGAAAACAUAUGAAAUGAUUAUGGGAACGUGCAUUCUAUACGACACCACCAAGUACUUGUGGGAAGAGAAGCUUAUAACAUAAACCAAAUGUUGUCAUUAGUAUACAGGUACAAGAUGCAUCCUUGUGACCUGUGAAACUCUUAAGGAUGAAAUAGAAGGAUCUGCAAACACACGCAAUUGCACUUCAGGUUGAAUGAAAUUUAUAGCAAACUUUACUUUGCAGUGAAUAAACACCUCAGUGGUACUUAAUGGAAGUAGAUGUCAAAUAUUCACAGCUCGCUGUUGAGCCUGUAGCCAAGUUAGGUGCUUUCAAAAUACCUUUCAAAGGGAUACUUCUGCAAAUGCUUAUUGCUUCUUUAAUGCGUCUAAUAGGUGUAAAUACAAUGCUGUAAGUAUUUUGGUGUUUUAACCCAAUUGUUUUUCUGGGAUUAUGUCUUUAGUUUACUUCAAUUGUAUUGCUGUAACUGGAAUUAGAUCCUCAUAGGGUUCAAGUAGGUGCCACAGAGACCAGCCUUUUGAGACAUCUGCAAUACAGUAUUGAUUAAGGCAGGGACCAAAAUCAUGUCCAAUAGCAAGUCUGGCUAAGGGAUGUGAGCUGCGUCAGUUCUGAGCAAAUCAUCAACACUAUCGUGUCAGCAGAAUGUGCUUAUUCAUAGAUUUAUUAUUAUCGUUAUCCUCUUAAAAGGCUGUCAAGCAUUGUCCUUAUGCUUAAAAACAACAACAACAACAGAACUGAAACAUCAUGUAGAAGUAAGCAGCCUACUGAGAAUAUACCAAUACAUGUGUCCAUAGAGUUCAGUGCUUGAAUUCAAUUCUCCUUUUGCACCCUUACGCUGUUGCCCUAAAUAAUAAGCUGUCUGUUAUUCCUAAUGCCUUUGGUGGCUCCAUAGAGAGUAACCUUGCUAACUUUUUUUCCCCGUCUCAGUAACUUUAGCUUAAUUAACAGUGAUUCUUAAAAAUAAAAAAAUAGACCUCAAAGGGUAGAAGGAAUCCACAGGGUGUUUUGUGAAAGUGAAUCACUGCAUGUUUGUGUGUGUGUGUAUAUACAUACAGAGUUACAUAUGUUCACGCAUGCAGAAAACCAGAGAAAGCAUCUGUCAUCAGAACUAUCUGUGAGUCACCUCAGAUAAAUGCUGUUUCAAGGCAAUCCUAUGCAAUAGAUUAAACAAUGUCUUCAGUUUGUGGCAGAGAGUUUAGGCCCAGUCAUUUACAAGCUAAAAAAUAGGUCAAGGAAUAGUGGUGAUAACUUGCCUUAUCGCCGGGCUGUGUAUGUGAGACCAUUGUCAUCCGUAGCUCCUGAGCAGUGUGCUGAUGUGGGUGCUGAGCCCUCUGCAGAGCUGGCAGCACAGGAGUCACUGAUGUUACAGUGCUGCAAACCUGAGCAGAAAAAUCAGGGCUGGGGUCUUAACAAGAGUUUUUUUUUAUCACAAAUGUUGACAAGGACAACAAAUGCAGAAUACCUGAGUUCAAUGAAAUGUCCUGAGUUGCCAGAGAAACCAUCUGAAGGCAGCUUUGCAGACUCAGUGCAGCAAAUUCCUGCAGCACAUUCCAGAAGUCCCCAGCCUGAGUCACUCUGAGCUCAAUUGCAGAGCUUGGAAGCUGAUGAAUCACUGUUGAGCAGUAUGUAUGUUUUUAUAAUCUUUGCUUUAAGUAAUGUCCAUUCAAGAUCUAAGCUAAUGACCAUUGGAUAAGGGUGCAGAUGGAAUGUGGUUUCCACAUUUGGAAGCCUGCUGUGAUGAAUCUGUUCUUUAAGUGUGUUUAUGUUUGAGGGACUUUGCAUGCGGGCUAUCUCCUCAAUGGCAUGUUAAACUCUGCUCUCCAAGGAGAAGAGUGCAAGAGAGGUAGAAGGGGGAGGAGAAGAAUCCAAAAGAGUGGAAAAAGCUGCAAAAUGCAUUUCUUUAGAAGCACUGAAGUUGAUUUUUUUUUGCAAGGUUUGAAGCGUCCUUCUCAUUCAAGGGAGCUCUGAUAACUCACCACAGAUUAUUACAGUGUUGAGGGGUCCGAACCUGCGGAGGGGGUCACUGUUUUCAGUAUCUUCAUGAUGAAUGCUGUUUGUUUGUAUGCUGUGUUCAAACACUGAAAUGAUUCAAAGCGCUUGCAGAUUUUUGCUGAGAUUCUAAGCUUUAUUAAUUUUACACAGUCUCCUUCCUUCUUUCUUCAUCUCCAUGCACGUGCUUUACUUCAGCACAGCAUUUAGGCACAGCUCCCAUCACAGGCGUACUUCCACUGGAGAUGACUCAUUCACGUGUGGUGUUCUGCAGACCCGCUUCUGCAGCUUCUUACAGUUCAUACAAUCAUUAAGGUUGGAGAAGACCUCUCAGAUCCUCUAGUCCAACCACCCACAUGCCACCAGUAUUGCCCGUUAAACCACGUCUCUAAAAGCAUAGAGAGUUUAGUUCCUAAAGCACGGAGAGACUUGAGCUGGAAACGUAAUGAUUGGUCUGAAGACAACACGGGAUUAGCCUCGGCUUUCCUCCCAAACUAAUGUAAACAAAUUCCCUACUCCCGAAAUAACUCGCGAGAUACCUUUUCCCCCUCCUCGCCCUGAAGUAUUCCUCUGUGCUUCCUGAUUUUUGGCAGGGACGUUUCAGAAAUAGCUAUUACAAUGAUGUUUCCACUCUGAAAGAGGAAGCGCUGGGUGGGAGGAGUUAGGAGAGGAGCAGAGGAAGCAAAGCUGUUUCGUGCCAUCUCGGGCUGAGCUUCCACAGCAGAUAGGUGGGAACGCAUCUGGGUGCUGAGCCACCAGAGCCCACCCUCGCCCGGCACGAGGCCAAACGUGAGCACACAAGGCAUGGCAUGCGUGGCCCCUCGUAUGGCUCGGCACAGCUGAUGCUGACAGCUCGGCACUGCUGAGCAGAGUGAAUGAGGCGAGGUCAGGAGGAAGGCAGCAGCGGGCUCCCCUCCCUGCGUUGUACAUGAAAGGUGCUGCCGGGACGGCUCGCCAGUGCGGCUUUGUGUGCAGCAGUCAUGCUGGAGAAGCUGCUCUGUCACAUGUUUGUCAGCCAGCCAAGAUUUUAAUUCUGAACUUUUCCAUGAAACCAAUAGCUAUAUUCUCUGGCUCUGGCCCGCUCUAGUGCUUGGCCAGGGCUAUGGGAAUGAAAUGUCAAAGCAGCCUGUCUAUGAAUUGAGAUUGCUUUCAUGCGUCUCCACCUGCUGGCUGGCAUUUCACUAAUUGCAGUAGCCUGUAGGGAUGACAGUGGACUUUUUGAAGCGAAGGGCUCACGUGGGAAGCGUAACUCAGCUCUAUGAGGAGACAAACAAAUGAGUGUGAUCAAAGAGAUCAUUUCUAACUUGACAAAGAGUGCUGUCCUGCAUCACAGGUAGAAGGCCACUGAGGUUUUCAAGCCAUGCUUUUGAGCUUCUGAAGCCUCAGCUGAAAGAUAAGCACUAAGAAGGAUUUUUUUUGGAAGGAAUUCGCCAAGUGUGGAGACAUUAACAUAUUAUUUCACGACUAAAACCAGAUGCUGAGGAUGCUAAUGUGCUCUCAUUGACACAGUGAAAGAGGGAAAUAUUUAUUAAUAUCUGGAAGCAUGAGCAUUCUGGGGCCCGCAGCCUAGUUUCUGUGUGGUUAGGAAAGCAGUUACUUAGCAAAUGUGGGCAGGCAGCUGUUUUGAAUGGAAAGGAAUAGAAAUGAUUAAUGACUUUUAUGCUUUAAAGAAAUGAACCCACAGGAUUUCUUUCUUCUACUGUGCUGUCCCACUUGGCCAUUUCUGUCAUGUGCUCUGGGACUUUCUUUGGAAGUUUUCAAUGGUCUGUCUUGAACUACUCUUUAGAAACUUACUGGACCAGAUCUGGAGCCAGACAGAUGCCAGCUGUGGAUCUGAUCCAUUUGCACGUACAUUCACAGGCUCAGAGCACAGAUUACCAACACUUGAUAUUCCAUGAACUUUGCACCACGCCCGCAAUAGAAUAUCUUGCUCUCAGAUACUGCAGUGAUGGGUGCAGUAUUAAAUCCUAUGUAGAGAAGAAUUUUCCCUUUUUCUUAGCUGCAUUUUGUUUGGGCUAUAUUUUACAAUGUGGAAGGCAAGAGGCGUUCUCAGGAACUGAAACAAUGCAGGGCAUAAACCCUUUCUUUGAUAAUGUCUGAUGUCAAUACUGAUUAUUGAUGUUUUACCAUCUUCUAUACUCAUGGGUUGUUUCAUUCUGCCAAACUGCUCUGUCAUCUGUUUCUUGUGUAUGUGUUCAUUUAGCUCCUUAGGUCUUGCAUGUGCGGCAACAGAAGGUGGGAGGUAGAAAAGGUUAAAAAGAAGAUGAGGAAGAGAAAGAGGAACGUGGAGAAAAAGAAAAAGGAAGGCUGUACAAAACACUGAUAUUUUCACUGAAUUGCUCACAGUGAAUCAUUCAGCCAGUGUUGCUGAAGCAGUACUUACUGGGGACGAUCCCAUUGUCCUGGGAGUUGACUUUAUGGAAUUAUUUCCAGUAUACUUCUGUUCUGUGCGUGAUUUGAUCCGCUGAAGGUUCCGUUCCCCUAUUUUUGGAUUAUGUGUUCAGAGUGCCAAAGUGUGAAAUAGGAAUGAUUUUUAUUCCAAAGUAUUCCUCCACUUCAAAAGUGUUGUUCCAUAUUACUAAGCAUUGGGAACAGGAUUUUAACUAUAGAAAGCGGUGAAGGUGCCCAUUACAUAUCUGUAUAAUUAAGCACCAUCAAGCAUAUUUAUUCCAUAGCUAGACAAGUAACAUUGGAUAUAUUUGGUUAUUGUUAGCACUACACAUCUGACUGAAUUAGCUAGCUGUGUGAACUCCAUGUAUCAUGUAAUUUAGAAGGUGUAUGAGUUUAAUACAUCCUGAAUGCGUCUAAUACCUUGGCUAAACACAGGCACCGAGCUAGAAAGAGUUCUCGUAGAUCACUUUAAGACACAGCAGGACUGGAAGAUGAUAUUUCCUUGUCUGCAAGUAUAUCACUCUCAAGCCAUCGUUUCAACACAGGAAGUUAUCUGCUACCUGGGGUAACAAUGUGCGCUUGAGCACAAUUGGUCUGCUGUCUGAUGACAUUUAAGAAUUAGCCACAUAAGGAUUUCUUACAACACUGUCAAAGUAGUUCAACUGAUCAUUUUAACUGAGCUUAUUUAAAAUUCCUGAAUAUACUGGUGCAAAAUGAAAGUAACUUUUGCACACUUGCACUGCACGCUUCACUUACAUCAGUUAUUUCCAGUCUAGGAGUGAAGACUCAAAUGAGUAGUGCUUCUCUUUCUGUGUGUGUCUCUCUAGAUGCUUGCCAGGUGGACAGCUGAAUUAGCACUGGUGCCAUUCAAAUCUUCUAACACAAGGAUGAGCUUUAUACGUGUUGGUACACAAAAUCCCACAUAGAGUGGGAUUCAGACCUAUGUUCAGUCCACUUCACUGAAAGCAGCAGCUGGUCCAAUAGCCUGAAUCUUCUUUCAGGGGCUAUUUUGGAGAUUGCUAUCACUCAGGCAGGAAGUAUGAUUGUGUAUAUGAGUGUGCAUUUCUGUGCUGCUGAACAUGUGAGGAACGGACCUAUUUUCUCAAGUUGAUUCUUACUCUUCUUUUUUUUUUUAACUGCAAAAUACUUCCUGAAAACCUCUCCCUGGUAACCUUGGAGGGUACAGCAACAAGCAUGGUGGUUUUAUUCCUACCUGGACCAUCUAGUUGAUGUGCUUAUGGAUGAGUUUUGUCCUCUCUUGUUUUUCUGACCUUUUUUAGUUUUCAGACCUGUGCAUCACUGAAGUAUUCAUCAUCAUCUACUCUUGUUUGACACUGUCUCAAUUAACACAACCUUUGGCUGUCAUAUCAGAAUGUCUUUAAAGUGUCCCCAGUGAAAGGUCUCCUUGUAGUGCAGUAUUUCUGCAUGAAGAGGGGUGUGUGUGUGUGUGUGUGUGUGUGUGUGUGUGUGUAAAAAAAGCUAUGAACUUCAUAUGGUUUUCCAAAGUGUGUUGCUGCUAAGCAGUAUGUGAGGCAGGUGAGGAGUCCUUUGUAUCGUUUGCAAAUAAGUCACAUACCAGUUGGUGUUCUUGGGCCUUAUGAUUGCACUCCAAAUGAAGAAACACUGAUUAUGAAUGUUUCCCUACAAAUACCCUUAUUAGCGUUUUUGUUUUGGCAAGGGAAUUAUUACCUGCAAAUCCUUUGCCAGUCUCUGGGUAUAAUAAUGAAUAAUUGUGAUGGAAAAUAAGUCAGUGGGAAAUAGAUUAUCUGAGAGGCAAGUGUCUGGUGAGCUGUGCAUUACUCUGAUAGGGAUUGUCUAAUUGUACGAAAGACUAUGAAAAUGGAGCAGAAAAGUGGGCAAUCUAGGUAGAAAAAGACAGCAUGAAGUCGUCUCACAGGUAGUGUGCUGUUUGUGAUAUUAAUGUAAAUGAUGCCUGACAAGACAGCCAGCGGUGUGCAUCUCUGCAGAAUGACUGGAAGGCCAGUUUAGGCAGAUGGCUUUGAGGUGACUCCUUGCAGUGAAACCUCAUCUAGGGCAGGACUGGUCCCUGUCUCACAUGGGCAGCCAAGGAGCAGAAGGAGGCAAGCCACCUUUUGCAGGUUCUGGCUCAGAGCAUUCUCUCUCUGCGUUCUGCAAGCUGGGGCUUGCAAGCAGCGGGGCGGAAGCAAGCUGUACUCUAGCAGCACAAAUAUUGAAGUAACUUACUUCCCCGGCUGGAGCAAGGAGGAACCGUGGAAGGAAUUGCAGCUCUCUGAGUCACACUUCCUCCUUGGAGUUUCUCUUGGAGUAGCGCAGUUCUGCACCAUGCUGGAGGCUGACACUAGAGCUAUGCUUGGUCCAUCCUCUCACCCCCAAAGUGACAGGGAGAAAGAACGAGAGGAAGGAGAAAGACAGUGAGGCACUGGAUUAUCAUACCCUCAGAUCUCCCGAUUGCAGCUCUAAAUAUAGCCAAACAAGUAAAAAUCUGCUUUUGGAAGUGGUACAACUAUGUGGCUCCCAACCCUUCAAACAACAUGCAUGCAGAAGGCAGCCAGUCCCCUCCCGACCAAGAUGCUGGAUGGGGAACCAUGCUAAGCACAUUCUGAUCUCCAGCCAGAAAGUGAAAAAUUCCCAACUGCCACACCUACCAGGGUGUGACCAGAGACUAUCAACUAGUUUAUAUUUGCACUUUGAUACACAGCACAGGCUUAACAUCGUACGGUGUAUCCCUGGAAAAAAAUAGCAACAAGUUUCAACACAGAAAUUCUGUUAGAUUGGGAGGCCAGAAUAAAUAAAAGCCGACGAGUUGUAGAAUGACUCGAGGUAGAGUAAAAGAUCUCAUCUCAAAAAUAACACCAAGGCAGUGUGCUGCAGAUGAAACACAUAAUGAAAAAACAUUCCAAACUUCUCAUUUGAGAAAAGAUUACAAAUAAAAUAGGCUUGGGCAUGCCAAGUGUAAAAUCUUUGAUAUGGAAAUGCAGUAAUGGUUAAACGAAAUGGGCUGAAAAUCUAUUUAUCAACAGCCUGUAAUGCCUUGUUGGAUCGUCCCAUGAGAAAAGCAAAUAAGGAGUAGUAGGAGAACAUACAGACACUGUUAAAAGGUUUACAUACCUCCCGCCUUCAUACCUUGAGACAUAGUCCUUCACCUUAACUGGAGAUAUCUAAAGGUUUAAAUGCUGGUAUGAGAGCAGGGUUUGAGAUGCACGGCCUGAGACCCAGCUUUUCAGAAGGGCCCAAAUGUUUCUGGCUUGAGGUGUCUGAAAGGAACCUGCUCUCUAGAGGGUGACAGGGGGUGAAGGCACCAGCACACCGGGGGGCACCUGGGGUGACACCCUUGGGCAGGGGCAUCUCUGCCAUCCUCACCAAGGCUGCUGCAGAUGAAGAGCUGGGCCACAGCACUGCACUGCUGGCUGAAAGCGGCACCGCGCCGUUCGUCUGCCUCACUUCUCUCUUCAUUCACAGUUUUCUUUUGCCAGUGGGCAGUAAGUCAUUACCGAGCCCUACAUGUGAAUCACGAGUGCCGUGGAAAUUAAACUCCUUGACCUGCUCACGUUUUUCCCUUUGAUGUCAGUCUGAAUAGGCAUUUUUUGACUGAAACGUAGUUUUAAUUUUGAGAGCUAGCAAGACAACCACAACCUUCUCUGCAAGGAAGUUCUCUGAAGAAGUCUUUGUUGUUCUUCCCAAAUUACUUUCCUAGAGACAGAGCGUCGGCAUGCAGUGCUAUGGGGGGCCAGAGUGUGCUUCUGCCAUCCACAGGCACAGGAGAGAGAAAAACAGCUACUGGGCUGUACCCCAGAUGUGAAGGGACUAGCCAUGGUGUUGGGGACCAAAAUCUGUGCCCUGUGGGGAGCAGUAAAGUGGAGAGACCCCCAGCCCCAACCUGCAAGAGCUGGGUGCUGGAGGUGUGUGGUGAGCCAUGAAAUCAUUUGAGUUGGAAGGGGCCUUUAAAAGUCAUCUAUCCCAACUCCCCUGCAAUGAACAGAGACACCUACAGCUAGAUUAGGGUGCUUGGAGCCUCAUCCAGCCUCUGUGUGAUGAGCUGGCAUGGGACAAAGCAGCACGGCUGCUGAAAUAGGGGUGCUGCUGUUUCAGAGGCUGGGGGUUCAUAUCCCCAACAGGUUAGGUAAUGUGCAAGGCAUCCAAUAUUAAAUUUCCGUCUGAAAUCAUACAAUGUUUUGAUGAAGCGCUGCAGAGACAUCUGUUUUGAAAUCUAGUUUCCCAUCUUACUGUUGCUGACCUGUUUAAAAUAAUAAAAACAGAAAGCUUUCCAAGAUGGAUGACACUGGGGCCAGGGAUAAAAACCUCACUUGUGUUUCUAAAGGCUCUUUCCAUGCUUACAAACCUGGUUCUUGCAUUCAUCAAACACAGAGGACUCUUUUUUUUUUCAUGCUGUCAGCCAGGAAACUUCAGAAAGGAAGAUGCCCAGGCCACCAAUGCCGCUGGUCUUUUUCAUUGCUUUACAAUAUGGUUCUGAAAGCUGCAGGGUUUCAGGUAAACAAAUAUUCCGGAACUAUAAAAUAUGAAUGAAUUCAAAUUAUACAUCCAUGCUAUUUAAAGAAAGAUUUUCUUUCAGGCAUGUGGCUAUUUGGGAAAAAUAAUUGUUUUGUUCAUCGAUCUGUAAUUUGUCUGUUGGGCUUUUCCUAGAACAUUCAGCCUGGCAAAGAAGCAGAAAACAAUUUUAUGGCUGGGAAGAUGGCACAGAGGUUGACUUGUUGGAAGCUCUGGGCAGCCUCAAGGACUCACAGAAAGUCAUAUUUAAUAGCUAAACUGCUGGAAAAAUAAAUUUUCUUUGCUGAUUCAUUACACUAACUCCACAGUUAAGAUUACAAGAAGAACAGACCAUUUAUUUUGGGCCAAAUUUUCAAACCUUCUCAAAUCCACAAGUAUAGCUGAUUGACUGCAGAAUGUAUCCGUCAAAGCCUGGUUCACGAAUUUGAGGUUCUUUGGUAAAGUUGUAGGAAUAGCACUUCAAAACCUCAUGAUUUUCAGUCUCCUUAUGAGAUCUGCUUUCAGCAGAUAAAGAGAAAAGAAACAUUGAGAAGUGUCUGCUAGUCACAUCACUGCACUGCUUCGUGUCGGAGGAGGGAAAGGCCAAAGCUUUAGAGCUGUGAUGCUGGAUGAUGUCACUGCAGGAGGUCUCUUAAAACAGAGUCAAGUCACCACACACCGGCCACACUGUAUUUCUGUGGAUGUCUAAACCUUUUUCUUCAGCAGGCAGAAGGAGCCAGCAAGCAGUUCAGUUUCUGCUUUGAUGAUUUUAUUUCCUAUGUGCACAAGUAUGUGGUGUAAACUGUUCAGGAGAUGCUAAUGGUGACAACAGUAGCUUAGUUAUUGAAGACAAAGUGUUUGCUAGAAAAGUAAGUUUUUGGGGCUUAUUUCCAAGAGGUGAUGCUAUACUGGACAGCCACUUUAACCUGAAAGAACAGGCUAUUUCUGGAUAUAUAUACAUAUAUAUAAAAAACACAUUUACUCCCCUUGCCAUUAUACUUUAAAGGUUUUUGCUACAUAGCUUAUUCAUCAUUACAAAAAGGUGUAAUGGUGUAAUGUAUCUAGAUUUGAGGAAGGACAAAUGUGAACUCAAGCAAUUGAAAGCAGCCAACAGAAACUGUAUGUUCACAGACAUGUAAGCUUGAGGCCUUGAAUUUUUGCGAGUAAGGCAUCAUUCAUCAUUAUAGAAUAGCUGUGUUUCACACAGGUGAGAUGGAUGGAGCCAGGAGAAAUCAACAGCUCUAGCUAUGACAUGCUGUGCUGCAUUCAAAAAAGAAUGAAUGCAAUGUAGAGAAACAAGAGUCCAGAACUAUCCCAUGUAUGAGAAGUCUUCUGGUAAAAGACGACGUUGUUGUUUGUGCUAGGGAAUAAAUUGGGUACCCAUCUUCUCUCUUUGCUUCUGAGUCCUGCCAAAUAACUCUUAUAUGGUGUUGGGCAAGAGGAUUCGGUUUCUCUAGGUCUGUUUCUGUAACACAGAUAAUAAAGAAUGAUUUCGUUCUUUAGUCCUUUUCCUCUAUGUGAACAGCAAGCUGUUCAAGACUGGGCUGUCUUCACUGGGUGUGCAUGCAGCGCUUAGUGCGGAUGGCUCUCAGUCUCAAAUGUGGCCUCUAGGCACAAGGGUAUUACAAAAAUAAUUAACUGAGAAGGUGUAUUUAUUUAGUUAAUUGUAAUAACUUCAGACAGGAUAUUGUACCUAAUUUUAGCUAAGUGUAAGUCAGUUCACAUUCAUUAAUUGGCCUGCUCUUUCCCACCUCUUGCUUGUGACAAUAUUGGUUCACAAGCAGGAUGUCAACACGCACAUGGUGUUUUCUAUUGUGGGCUUUUUUUUUUUUCCCUGUGAAAUGAGCAGGUGAGGGUUCCUUACUGCCUGGAAGUUAACUGACUUAGAGCAUAUCUUAAAUAUAUGCAGUUCCUCCCAGCCUGUGAGGAUGCGGAAGGACUUAAUACAACUAAACAACUUUGGGAAGAACUCCUUAGUUGCUAAGAGGUGUGUUGAAUGCCUGCUGAAUCCCCUUAGCAGAGGCAUCCUCCUGUGCCUCACUGUCACGAUGUCUUCAUCUUACUCUCACAGAAACACAUUUUAUUUUCCUGGAGAAAAUCAUAUGAAAAUACAAAGCAAUGAUUCAGCAACCAAUGAAGCCAGGCAGAAUUUUUUAUUUGACCAUGAAACAUAUAAGGACCCUUUCUGGGUCUUCUGGGCACUUUCUCUCAAUUCCUGAGCAUCCUCAGCCUAAGUUGUAUUUUCACAUCUUAAGAUGCAUUUAGCACCUCACAGUUUUCACUUCUGUGACAUAUGGAUGUAUGUUUUGUUUAGUUCAGAAUGAUUGCUAGAAUGCUUGAUUGUUAUUUGGUGCUAAAUAUUAGCAUAGCUUUCCAGAAAGCUGUCUGGUAUGCUGGAAGUCUAAGGGAACUCAUCUUUAGAGAGUACGUUAUCGUAAUGCUUAACUGAAGAUCAAUCACGUGGUUCCUGGUAGCAUCCCAGAUUCUGGUUAAAUUCCUUUUUCUUUUUAAAGAAGAAUUCAAUGAAUUUUCCUCUCCAAGUGCUCAGCAACCUAAACGUUACAUAGAGACAUCAGAAGUCUUUUAAUGCAGGUUUUCAGAGUAAAUGAAACCUUUUUUCAGUGUGGUUGCCUUUGUAAUAACAGUCUUCUUAUUUGUUGGAUACUUAUGUAACGUAAGAUGAAAAGACAUUUUAUAGCCUUCUGGCAAGAGGACUUAAAAUUAACAGCAUACCUGUGGCUGCCCUAAGCCAGGGAGGGAGUCAUUUUCAGGCCAUGGGAAAACUGCAGUUUUGCAUCCUUCACUUCUUCUGACCUACUGCUAUUCAGUAUUUCCAUAGGCUUGUUUUUCAUGAAAGCAUCAUCGCGCACACAAAGAAAAACUAAGUAAUGGAUCCUGAUGAAAGAACAGAGGCCGAGGUGGUAUGGGAUAGCUGUCACCCAUUAACAUCUCCCCCAAGAAUGUGGUGGUUUAACUUAUUCUCUCAUUUUAUAUUUUCAUGCCUGGCUGAGCCCUGGUGUCGCACACGGCCGGCUGGCUCUGUGCAGGAGCCACCAGGCCAAUUUGCUCUGGCAACAACUAACCCAAGGCCACGCGGUGCCCGCUGCAGCCUGAAUCGAGGCCUGCUCUGUGGCCAUGUCCUGCAGCAGUCCCAGGCAGGCGGCCUCCGCCAACCCUAGGCAGGGUGUUUUGUUUUGCACAACAGUUGAUGGCUUUCACGUUUCCUCCCUGUCGAUACGCAAAAAGGAAAACCACAAAACGAUAGCGAUCUGAGUUUGGUCUCACCUGUACGGGGCUGGCAGCCGUGCCAUCCCAUUGAGUUUGGCUCUGCUGCCCCACCACUCUUUGGGCUGGGCCUUCAAGCAGAUGUGAACUUGAUCAGCAUCAAGCCCGAUCUUUUUCAUGCCCGUUCUUGCUGUGAAUAUUUGUUUUCCCUUACACGUUUCUACCUGGAACCUGACUACCUCCUUGCAAAGUUUUGUUAUUUAAAAGUAAUCUGACAAUUGUUUUCAAAAAGAUAAUUACUCUCCAUCAGAAGUGUAGAAUGCUGCUAAUCCCCAGAGAAGCUCACCCAGCGUUUCCUCCUCACCAUGUAAGCAUAUCACCUUGGCUGUGUCUCAGGGCUUCCCAGAGCUCAUGUGGCAGUUCAUGGGCCCUCUGUGCUGUGGCUCUUCUCACCCCUGCCUGCGCUGGGGAGGGAUGUGCAGCAGCAGCAGCACGAGGACGGGGCAGCUUAUGUGGGAGACGUGUCAGGCCCUCAGCCACAAUCCUGCCUGGAAGAACAACUCUGCCCUCCUAAAAGCCCUACCAGACCUGCCAUGGCCCCAGCUGGCCGAGCCCCCAGCUGCACAGUUCAAGGAAGUAUGCAGCUAAUUGGUGUAUUGCCUCUGCUGGGGCUCAGGCAGGCUAAUGCUAGCACUCCCACGCCAGGCAAACUAGCGCUCCUUUGCUUCUUCAGCAUUCAGACUGUCAGAGCCUUUUCUCUCAGCAGUAACAAUUACCAACAACACUGGAGAUGGCGGUGGCAUUAGAUCUGAGAAUGACUCAUCACUGAACCAGCCCUGUCAAGCAAGAUAAAUACAAUUUAGUUGUUAGCUAAUCUAUUUUUGUUUGUGUUCUCAAUUCACCCAGGACAAUGAUUACAUUGCUGUCUAUCAUGCUAGCAUUAAGGAUAUUUUGCUACAACGUGCUUAGCUUUGUAAAGCGAACGUUUAUGAAUACAAUAGCCGUAUUUGUCUGUCAAUAUUACUUCACUGCUGACAUACCGCACGUCAGGUUUCUAUGGCAUGACAGAGACCCGCGCAGUAAACUAUUCUGGAUCUGGGGGAGUUAAGUUGUGGAAAGGCGCCAUUUAGUUUACCAGCAUUUCGGUACCGAGAAAUUUCACCUCAGAUAUACUUCUGCUAUCUGUCAUCUGCCAGUUUGUCUUUCCUUCAUCUCUACAACUGAAACCCGUGGUUUAAUACCGCGUUGAAUCAGCCUUGGACUUUGUCACAGUCUGACCCCAGAAGAAAAGCUGACGGGCUGCUCUGAGUGGGCUUGUAGGAUGCUUUGGCACUUCCAUGCUGAGCUUCAUCAGUGCCCAGAUCAGCUCUCAAGGUGCUCAGUGCCUCCCAAACUCUCCUCCUGAAACAAUCCAGGCUUUGGUAUGGCUUUGCAUUCAAGUUAUUUAUUUUCAUUGUAUUUCCUCUCCCUUUGUUUUUGUUUUUGUUCAGCACUUACUUAGCCCUUGGGAAAGCUAUUUAUGGAAAUUUCAGAUUUUCAUGAUAAAGAAAGUGUUUUGCAAUUAGAACUGGAGGAAACCAUUGAUCUCGAUAACAGGGUGAGAAACUUUCUCACUUGCAAGGUUGGCGAAUCCCAUUAGCAAUCGCCAAACUCUGCCAAACAGCAAACAAGCAAAGAUGCACGGCGAGGAGGAGGUGAAAAGUGUAAUAAAAAAUGCUGGUUUUCUCUGUUUGACUUUCUUGCCAAGCUGGCGCACCGGAGAAGACAUUUGCCAGCUGUCAUAUCUGAAGAAAGACUCAACUGAAAGAUCUCGCUACGCUCAGUUCACGAGCAAGACUUUUUUUUUUUUCUCAGAAUCAGCCAGAUAACUGAUUAUUCUGUGCUCAGCGAGAAACCUUGUGGCUUUGCAACGUUUCACCCGGCGCGCUGCAACAACCAACAUCUCUGCUGCUGAAAGCUCUCAAACAAAAAUAUUCGGAAUAAACUUCCAAUACUUUGGAACCCUGCCAGUCGUGGGCAUCUUUCAGGAGAGGCAGCAGAUACAGGCUUACUGUCCGUUAUUAUGUUUGUCGUCUGCUGUGGUCCUUGAGGUUGCUUCUUGUAUUUCCAGCGGCCGUAAGACGUUCUUGCAGAGCUUACUGGUUAAUCGCGAUACGUUAAACAAGCUGCGAAGUGCUGUGGGAAACCAUUGCAAAGAUACUUAACAGACUGAUACACUACGCUAUGUCUGUAACCUCUUUCCAUCUGAUAGUGCCGUCGUUUUGAAUGGGCUGUGUGGGAGGCAGCCUGUUGCCCCGACCUGAGCUCAUGCCACAUUUCUCAGGCAGAUGCUUCCGUCUCCCCGACGUAACAUGCAGGCUAGACAAGGCUCACGGGAGGGAAACGUGUGAAGUAAUUCCCAUUCCCCCCUCUUCCAAGUAUGUAACACCGUUGUACUGCUUGUCAGAUAUGUUUUGAGACAAUAGUUUUAUUUUUCUCGUCUAUAACAUCAGGUAUUGUUAUCACUAUCAUUACUAUUAUUACGUAUUAUUGAAACCAGUCUGAAACUGCAUACCCAUAUGCAAUUGCAUCUGAAACACUUAACUGAGAUGAGAUGAGAUAACCACGGUGCGCGAGGCUCAGCCAGCUGGAGCAAGGGGGCAGAGGACUUCCAAAGAGGAGCUGGGAUGGCGCAUGCAAAAGGCUCGUUAAAUGCGUCAGCUUCCCUCGCUGGAAGAGCAGGAAAGAUCCAGCCUGAGGCCAGGACCCGGCUUUCUGGGUGAGAAGAAGCACGGGAGCACCAAUGCCUGUGUCUGAGUGGCAUUUCCAGCCGAGUUCCUGGGCUGCGUGGCUGAAAUCUGGCAGAGACCACGUACUAAACUUGACCCCAAAGUGGUGUAACAGACCUGUGGCCUCAUCCUUACCCAACUCCAACGCCUGUCUGCACUUGAACUAAAUGUUAAAAAGUGGUAUUUCCUGAGAGCACUGUGAGGAGCCUUAAGGGCUGGCUACCGGGCAUGCAGUGAGAGCCAACAGCUGGCCUGGCCACUCUGCUCCUUAUCUCCAGACUGAUAGCAUCAAAGGUCUCAGCCUGUUCUGGCUGGGGGCUGGCUCUUGCCAGGCAGUGAAUGGCUUAUGAAGGUGCUUCAGCUUAGAUUUCAGGUGGGUUUCAGCACUGAUGCACUCACUGCAGUAGCAUCCCCAUUACUGAGGACUGGAUCCAAUGUAGGAUUUGGAUAUGUGAAGAACAAAUGCCUCAGGAGGAAAGUGGCCAUAAACCACUUGUGACAGCUGCCCAGCCUGCAUCAGCAGCUUUCUGUGGAAGUUCCCACAAGUGUCUGUAUGAGAGCUCCAGGGAAAACUAUGGAACAGGUCCAGGGAAAAGGAAGGUAACUUUCUUAUAUAAAUGAAAUCAACACAUUUUCACCCACAUUUUUGCUUUUCAUUAAAAUGGAUCCAGCUGUGGAAGCACUAGCAAGGAAGAAUGUGACCUCAGGUCCCUGUUAGAGGGGUGGGAACAAUUGUAGUAAGGGGAAAUCAAUGCAAGAUCUUUUAUGGCCAAUACAGGCUAUAAAUUACAGACCUAGGCAGAUAAAGCAUUUAGAAGUCACACUUGCAGAGCCACGGUGAAGAGAUAACAAAGGAAAACUACACCAAAGUCCCAGUUCUUCAGCACUUAUGAUCUUAAUUAAAGGGUAAUGUAAUCAAUCUGGUGAUUAAUCAUAAACUUUUUAUUGAGGGAGAGUAGUAGGCAUUCCUACCAAAGGCACCAGCGCCCAUUUUGCUAUCAGUCUGUCUAACUCCAUUGCACUGAAUCCUUCCUGCUCUGAAAUAUCUUCAUGGACACCUGUGGACUUAUGUCAAGAUAAGAUCAGCCCAUGGAGAAAAACACAAGAUACUCUACCACCUACCUGGAGUCAAAUAAAUGGAUUCAAAUCCACAUUCCUGCAGGGAGGUGAGAAAUCUGAAUGGCUUGGGUAAUGCACAGCACUGUAUGCAUAAACUACACGUUCCUUAAGGACAUUAAACUUGCAGUCCCUCAGGGGAGGGCAUGAACCAUCACUGCUCCCUGCAGUACACAUGGUGGCAUGAGGGACACCAACAAGGGACACCGCCGCCCAUCCUGCUGCACAGCACCGCCACCGAAGGCAAUGGAGGGUCUGGAAAAGACGGAGCGAUUGCCUGCCACAGCCAGCAAGGACGAAGUGGCCAAGAGUUUGUGCAUUCAGAUCCCUGUGGGAGGAUGGGAACAACCCCUCCAAUCCCUCCUCCACGAUCCUGGCUUUACUGCAAGAACCCAGCCACAAAGCUAAGCCGGUCUGUUUACCAACGUAACAGUCAGAGCAAGAGCUUACAUCAUAUUGGAGCAAACAAAGCCUGGGGGGAAAAUACCUCUAACUUAAGGUAUAUUCUGAUGUAAGAGUAAGAGCUAGCAGCAUUUCAGGGUCCUUUUGUAAUAAUAACUCCCACGCUGGAGCCUUAAGCAUUAAUGGUCUGUGAAAGCUAUUAUUUGAUGUUUUUAGCAUUGAAUUUCAUUCUGACAGGACUUCAUGAUACGUAUUACAGAAAAAAUACUGUUAACCUAAUCAUAUUAAUACCAAAUCUUUGUACUGUAAUAGCCUCAAACAUUUAGAGCAAGGCACAAACCUGACUUUUCAUAAAUACAGAAAGACAGAAGUUUUAAUGAUGUUAUUUUCCUACUGCUUCCCCGACUGCAUCUGUUAGAGUCACUAAGACCAAGGACCAUCAUUCCUCUCUUUUACAGACAGAAGAGUGGAAAAGAUGCUUGGCUUUCCAGGGCCGAACCCUGCACUUCUUAUUCCCAGGGACAGCCUCUUCAGGCAUUAUCAAUUUGUCUUUGUCUUUCCCUUUUUAAGACAUGCCUGGCAUAAGUUGCGUCUGAAAUAUAAUUCCUGAUUUCUGCUGCUGCUGACAGUUUAAAUUAUUAAGAGGAAUUUUAAAGUUCUUUUUAGGUCUCUCACUUUUACAUGACAGUUUUCCUUCCCGCAUUUCAGUUGGUUUUGGUAGUCUUGUCGGAGUCAAUUUUUCUUUCUCUUUAUUAAAACAAACUCUAUGCUGUCUGCCUUUGAUGAGCUUCUAAAUGCAAAGGAAAGAAAAAAAUAUACAGGUAGUAAAUACUCUGAAACAUUCACCUAUGCAUAUAGUUCAGACAAAGUGAAUCUGCAUCCUCAUGUUGUCAAGAAGGGCCCUUUAAGCUUGAAACGAGAGCAGAUUCUUUCAAACUUUCCCAGAGAAUAGCAGUGACCUUGCAGAUCAGAUAACCCAUGGUCUACAAGAGUUCAAAUAUGUCAUCAGGACUUUAUUUUACUGUUCAGUGUUCCUCAGCCUAGUUGUUCAAGUCAGGCUAAUUCCAACCUCUACCCCCCAAAAAAAAGCCCUACAGGAGUGCACAAUGCCAGCAGAGCAGAGCUGGGUAUGAGCAAGGAUAAAUGAGGCCGUCUGUCAAAAGCUGGACUGUCAUUGAGAGGCUGCGAUCCAAUGGGCACAACAUAUUAAACCUAAGGAAAAUACUUGUUCCCCUUACUUCAUUCUCUAGCAGGCUGCAGCUCAUGAAAUCCAUCAUGGACUUCACGUUAGUACAGAAAUUCGCUCCAGCACUUCUCCACUGACUCUCGGUAUUAACUGAGACUUCUCCUGUUUUUAUAAGACAAAUACUUCUUCAUGUUGCUGGGGAAGCAACAGUGUUGCUUCCAAUUUGUUGUUGUACCAAUAGCAUUUGUCUCACUGCAGCGUGAGCCACUGCAGGGAAGAAAACCAGGAGAGGACCAAUCACUUCCAGCAACACUAACUCUACAUUAGUUUAGCCUCAACUUCAAGCUGUACCCUAAGGCUCCAGCUCAGCAACAGGUAUCUUACUUUUGAGCUCAUGAGUAGUUCUGGUGCACUCAUGUGUUUUGACUUAAGCAUGUGCUUCAACCUCUUAUUGAAUGGGCUUCUAAAUCAUUUGAAAUCCAGCCCCAUUUCCAUCACUGAAAACCAUUGUAUUACAUCACUGGGUUGCUCCAGAAGUAGGGAAAAAAUAUUCUUGGUAUUUCUCGAGACAGUUUUACCGUUGUUAUGCUGCUGUUUUGCUGGGAUUCAGCUUCAGUAAACAGUUCCAGCCCCAGUCUGAAUUCAAAGCCAGAACUGGGGUUUGAUGAAACGCUUGGGUGCUGGACUGAACGUGCUCCAACUAUACAGGGAUUUUGGAGAGGAGAGAUAAGGUGAGGGCUUUCAAGCAAAAAUGUAGCCGUUCCCCUUUUCCAGAUCCUCCCCUUCCCAGCGCAGUAUUCUGGGAAACUGCCUGCCCGUUUCAAGACCUGCUGCAAUGAGCCCUGGUGUCAUGGUACAAGGCAGGGAAUUUCAGGUUGGAACUAAGUAUCUUUUUGGGUUUGUUUAUUUCCCUUAAAUUGCCUGAAGUCUUGCUUUCCAAUGUCCCACCACUUUCCAGAGACAAUCUGUCAGAGGAUCCCAACCUCCCUCCAUCCAUCCAUGUGUCUCCGUAGCCCAAUGUGACCAUCGCUAGGGGAUUCCAGGGUUGCACCCUCUCUGUUUUUAGCAGCGUGCCAACUAUUCCCCGUUAUCAUCAUGUGGAUGGAGGCAAGACGUGCUGGCAGAGCCUUACCCUUUCUUGAGAGCCUGGGGACCCUGCAGCACGGGGAACAGCAGGCUCCAGGUCCUUCCUAGGCCAAGACAAUGCUAGUACCAUGGAGAACCUUAUUCUUCGGAAACAAAGCAUCUCUGAUUCAGCUGUUACUCAAAACAGAAAUUCAUGUUUUAGUAGGGCUUUCUGCUUUAACCCAUCUGAAAUGUAAUACCCGUUAACACAGAUGUUAGCACACCUUUGCCUUUUCUUUCUCCCCCAAGAAGAAGAGCCCGCAGUUUAAGGUUGUAAGUCUGAGCAAUUCAGUAAAUGAUGCAAAUACAAAUGAAAAUUAGCCAACAAAAGAAAUUCAAUUGAGUUUAAUAGGAGGCUAUUAUCAUACCUCGCAUUCUCUGCUGCCCUAGCACAGGUAGGAACCAACCACAGGGGACGGAACAGCUCUGUCUGCUCACAUAGCGCAUACAUACAAGGCAAACAGCAGCAGAAAACCCGGUUUAUUUGACUGUAGUCAUUAGCGCUACGCAUUACAGGGUCAGUGCCGCUUCGCAGAGCGCUCCGCGUGUCCCCCCGCUCCCCAAGGAGCAGCACCGCACGGGGCCCGACAGAUGUGAGCCCACCGCGGUGGGGUCUCUCCGGCCCUCGUGUCGCUCCGCCAUCCCCGUUCGGCAGCCGAGCUUCCCGAAUCGGGCCUACUGGCGUCAGCGGGGGGGGGGUGGGGGGGACUGGGCUGGGCCGCGCCGGCCGGCCGCUGGGUGCCGGCAGGCC
This 25078-nucleotide long non-coding RNA is filed under the name Gallus gallus (chicken). RNAcentral describes it as "lncRNA (ENSGALG00010026830.1)". The record is from RNAcentral. Lineage: Eukaryota; Metazoa; Chordata; Aves; Galliformes; Phasianidae.